Molecule: ribosomal RNA, 490 nt
Filed under: uncultured bacterium
Lineage: Bacteria
Description: partial 16S ribosomal RNA
Rfam family: Bacterial small subunit ribosomal RNA
Source: RNAcentral
AGUGAACGCUGGCGGUAGGCCUAACACAUGCAAGUCGAACGGCAGCACAGUAAGAGCUUGCUCUUACGGGUGGCGAGUGGCGGACGGGUGAGGAAUACAUCGGAAUCUACUUUUUCGUGGGGGAUAACGUAGGGAAACUUACGCUAAUACCGCAUACGACCUACGGGUAAAAGCAGGGGAUCUUCGGACCUUGCGCGAUUGAAUGAGCCGAUGUCGGAUUAGCUAGUUGGCGGGGUAAAGGCCCACCAAGGCGACGAUCCGUAGCUGGUCUGAGAGGAUGAUCAGCCACACUGGAACUGAGACACGGUCCAGACUCCUACGGGAGGCAGCAGUGGGGAAUAUUGGACAAUGGGCGCAAGCCUGAUCCAGCCAUACCGCGUGGGUGAAGAAGGCCUUCGGGUUGUAAAGCCCUUUUGUUGGGAAAGAAAAGCAGCAGGUUAAUACCCCGCUGUUCUGACGGUACCCAAAGAAUAAGCACCGGCUAACUUCG